AAGUUUACAAAGUGACCCAACUCUCCCACGCUUCCCCUACUAUCUAACCGAACAUCAAUUUUCUAUUUAAACUGUUCACGUGUUUUCCUCUUCUACUUUUACUUUCAUUUUCCAUUCAUUUUCAGCAGCCCGACACGUAUACGCCUAUAAAUAUUAACGUUGUUCAUUUUGAGGACAGCACAUCUCAUGUGACGUUUCGAAGAAGUGUUUGUGGCCUUCUGUCUAGUUAAUGCUUGGUAUAUUUCUACUGUUAGUCAAGUCAGACGGAAGAUUCGGAACACACUGACAGUAAUUAUUAUUGUAUUCCUGUUGGUCCUUUUGUUCAUUUUUCAGUACUGGGAAAAGUUAAAAUCGUGGGGAUUUGUUAGUAAAAUGUAAAUAAAUUAAACAUUUGUGUGUUAUUUUUAUGUUGACUUCAUUGACAUACCAUGUGACCUGAUUGUCAAAUCAGAUUUAGUUGCAUUGUUAUGUUCUUUUAUUUUGUUUGUCUUUAGUUUCGUAAUGGUCUUAUUUCACACACAAUUUACCAAUGGGGUCGUAUAUGAAACAAAAUAUCCCUAUAUUUGAUCUUGAAUCAAUAAAAAGGGUUUGGGUGUGCUCACUAGUCACGAUUAUGGGGCGGAUGGAAAACGAUAGGGGAAUUCCCGGAUGAAAGUAUAAGGUCAUUGUGAUCCCGCUACGACUGAAUACGGCGUGAAAUGUUAAUAACCAUGCCCAUACCAGGCUCACUGCUCACGACACGAUUAUGGGGUGGAUAGAAAAACGAUAGGGGAAUUCCCGGAUGAAAGCGUAUAGUCAUUGUGACCUGACUACGAUUGACUACGCCCAUACCAAACUCUCUUCAAAUUGAGGUUUUGUGUCCUUGAAGAUGUGGGAUUUAACACUGAGGGACAAAAGACCUAUUAUCUAUGGAAGCCUAUAACUACCAUUCAUAAUUUCUACUUUUCGCCUCUUCAGAACACGAAAGUCGAAAAAGUCGAAAAGUAGAAGUUACGACAAAAUGUGAGGCGACAAGACGGUAUACAAGUCAAAAUCAACUCGAAAAUAGGAAAUUAAGAAAUAACACACCGCGAUAAUAGCGCCCCCCGUUUUUUCUUAAUUUCUACUUUUCGACUUGCAUUUUGGCUUGUAUACCGUCUUGUCGACUUUCGACUUAGUCAUAUUUUUGUAUUUAUUGAUGUCAGUAAGAAGGCGCCAACACGCUAUACAAGCCAAAAUGCAACUCGAAAAGUAGAAAUUAGGAAAUUAACACACUGCGCUAUUAGCGACCUAUGUUCUGUCGUACUGUCGACUUUUCGACUUUUCUACUUUUCGACUUUCGUGUUCUGAAGAGGCGAAAAGUAGAAAUUAUGAAUGGUAGUUAUAGGCUUCCAUAAUUAUCUAACCGAACAUCAAUUUUCUAUUUAAACUGUUCACGUGUUUUCCCCUUCUACUUUUACUUUCAUUUUCAGCGAAUCGAAAAUAUACGCCUAUAAGUUUAAACUUGUUUAUUUUGAGGACAGCACAUCUCAUGUGACGUUUCGAAGAAUAUUCUCGUAAUGUUUUCAAGUAAAGAAACAAAAGAUGAACUGGGCUAAGGAAGACGGGCAUACGCCAUACAGUGUGCUAUUUGAAAAAGGUUGGAACAUGGGGACUGAACUUCAAGUUUUAACUUUUGGUAUUCUUAUCGUGGGUAUAAUUGUGGCACUACAAAAAGAGGAGUGGCUCUUGGCUGCCAUAAUGUUUGUGGCCUACUGUCUAUUUAAUGCUUGGUAUGUUUCUACUGCUGUUAAUAAAAUCAGGCGGAAGAUUUGGAACACACUAACAGGACUUUUUAUUGUAUUCCUAUUGUGUUCGUUUUUUAAUAUUGGGAAGAGUUAAAAUCUUGGGGAUUAAAUUAAACAUUUUUGUGUUA
Molecule: long non-coding RNA, 1894 nt
Organism: Patella vulgata (common limpet)
Lineage: Eukaryota; Metazoa; Mollusca; Gastropoda; Patellidae
Exons: 5
Source: RefSeq, a predicted model, not a curated record